This 1519-nucleotide long non-coding RNA is filed under the name Gallus gallus (chicken). RNAcentral describes it as "lncRNA (ENSGALG00010002879.1)". The record is from RNAcentral. Lineage: Eukaryota; Metazoa; Chordata; Aves; Galliformes; Phasianidae.
AUGUCAGAAGCUCAGCUUCAAGACUGUUGUGAAUCGGAGCUAUCACAAGUAUUACAAAUCAUAAUCACCACCAUCACUGUCAAAUAAGCAUGUAUUCCUGGUGGCAGCUUAAAUCAGCAAUACAAACAAUGUGCUCAUUUUCCUUUUGUUUAUCAUGAGUACUGAAAGUCACCACUACAGUACUGAACCAGAGGUCUAUUAGUGAAGAUUUACGAUUUUCCAGUAAAAGCCUAGAAUCUGUGGCUAUAAGGAGGAAGUUUUUUACUGUAAGGGUAGUGAAACACUGUGAUGGGUUGUCCAGAAAAGUGGUGGAUGCUGCAUUGCUGGAGACAUUCAACGUCAGGCUGGAUGGGGCUCUAAGCACCCUAAUCUAGCUGUAGGUGUCUGUUCACUACAGGGGAGUUGGACUAGAUGGCCUUUAAGGGUCCCUUCCAACUCAAACGAUUCUAUGACACAAUUCUAUUCUAUGAUCUACAGACAGACUUGUCUCUCCAUCUAGCAGAUUGCUACGUAAGGUUUACUUUGAAUCACCUCUUUAUAUCUGCAGGUGCAUUACAUCUCUAGAAGUAGAUAGUGAACAGGAGUAAGAGGACCAAUGUCUCUGGAAUGCUAAAAGGGAACGUUAAAAUGGUGCUGCACAAAAAAUCCAAACUGAAGAAACUCUUGGGUAAGGGAUACAACUCCAUAUCAAAGAAGAUGUGAGUUCUCAUUGCCAAGAAGGCCAAAGGAUUCCCCCUUUUCCUUCACUGGAGUGCAUAGUUGGGAAGGAUUUAGAAUUCCUCCAUUAUGUUUCAUGUGUUUUAUGUCAUAAUUAUUAGGUUAAAAAAAAAAUAAAACUUGGACAUUUCCAUAAAGUAUACCCUUUUCUUCAUUUGCAUAACAAUGUAUAAGGGUUUGAAGUUGUGAGAUGCUUAAUUACUUUGAAAUCCCACUCAUUGAAUGUGUGUUCUGACUUGUGUAUACCCACUAUCUGCAGUGUAAUUUUAAGUAUACAGUGCUUUGCAUAAUUUCAUCUGUAAACAGCUGCAGAAGCUCCUGCUUUACAUAAACAACAACUGCUCAUCAUAGUCUCAGAAAGUCAUGGGUCUGUUUUAUAAACAAACAAACAAAAAACGCCUAUGCAUAAUGCAGUAUUUGGAAACAAACUUGGACAUUACUCACUCUUCAGAGCCUCUCCUGGUUUUGUUACCUCACACAGAAGAAGCUGACAUGCCUCUCCAUUAGAUGUCAAGAGCUCUUAAUGAAAGAAUUGAAAUAAAAGAUUUAAAUUUGCCUUAUUUCAACCUAAACAAUUUACUGACUGUCUAAUAAUGACUUUUUCAAACUACCGUAUGUGAAAGAAGCAGCAAUAUUUAGUAGAUAUAGAGGUAUUCAGUCUUCUAGAAGGAAAAAUGGCAUAUCUCAAUAGCCCUACUCAUUUUUAUUAUCUUUCUUACAAAAGUCUUAAUGGAAAUAUAUCUUUGUAAUAAUGUCUGUGUAUCAUCUGUAGAUAAAAGUCCCAAUGUUUUUUCGUUAUUUU